This 425-nucleotide ribosomal RNA is filed under the name uncultured bacterium. RNAcentral describes it as "partial 16S ribosomal RNA". It matches the Rfam family "Bacterial small subunit ribosomal RNA", at positions 354 to 796 of the family's 1533-position model. The record is from RNAcentral.
GUGGGGAAUUUUGGACAAUGGACGCAAGUCUGAUCCAGCCAUGCCGCGUGAGUGAUGAAGGCCUUCGGGUUGUAAAGCUCUUUAGCCGAUGAUUAUAAUGACUGUAGUCGGAAAAUAAGCCCCGGCUAACUUCGUGCCAGCAGCCGCGGUAAUACGAAGGGGGCGAGCGGUAUUCGGAAUCACUGGGCGUAAAGCGUGCGUAGGCGGUUUUGUAAGUUGGGAGUGAAAGCCCAGGGCUCAACCCUGGAAUUGCUCUCAAAACUACAAGACUUGAAUUCGGGAGAGGAUAGCGGAAUUGUCAGUGUAGCAGUGAAAUGCGUAGAUAUUGACAGGAACACCAGUGGCGUAAGCGGCUAUCUGGACCGACAUUGACGCUGAGGCACGAAAGCGUGGGGAUCAAACAGGAUUAGAAACCCGUGUAGUCC